CGCCAGUUAAUAACGUCAUUCUUGUGAAUGCUUUUCAGUUCUUCUGCCUCUUUCUGUGAAAAGUUGAACAUAUACCUUUUAUCGAUAAUCUGAUUCCAGAGCCUAUUGGUUUCAUACUGGAGGGAAGGAUCUUUUUCCAGUAGCUUANUUAACCCACUUCUGUAGUUCUCAAAGGAUGCUUCAUCAAGUCCUUCCAACAACUCUUCAAG
RNAcentral lists this unclassified non-coding RNA (209 nucleotides) under Hevea brasiliensis (rubber tree). The record is from RNAcentral. Lineage: Eukaryota; Viridiplantae; Streptophyta; Magnoliopsida; Malpighiales; Euphorbiaceae.